UUAAAAGAAUCCAAAGUUUUUAUCUCUUCAAAUUCAAUUAACAUCCCGGCUGUUAAUUACAUGAAAGUAUUAGAUGGAAACGUAGACGACGAUAACUGUUUGUCGAUAAAUCAGUCUGGUCGACAAAUAAUCUGGAAAUCAAUAUUUAAUUGGCCAAGAAUAAUUAAGCGAAUUCUGAUAUAUACCAGUGAAACCUCGACGCCACAGAUGGAACAUUUUAAAGUUGAACUCUACGAUUAUAACGAUUUGAUAGCUUUUACAAAAGAAAUUGACAGCGUUUCUGUCCUUCACACAAUCUACGUUGAGAAUAGUCGAAAGAUCAUGAAGUUAGCCUUAAGUACCAAUGAUUCGCUUUCGCUAUGUGAAAUACAAGCGUUUGGAGAGUGUUCGAGAAGGAGAUACGGUGUGACAUGUGAUUACGUGUGUAGUAUGACAUGUGUUGAACAGGAUUGUCAGAUUACCGGCCGC
This is a long non-coding RNA of Physella acuta, 468 nucleotides long. RefSeq lists it as uncharacterized. The record is from RefSeq and is a predicted model, not a curated record. NCBI's taxonomy places the organism in Eukaryota, Metazoa, Mollusca, Gastropoda, Physidae.